Long non-coding RNA from Dama dama (fallow deer), 929 nucleotides. RefSeq lists it as uncharacterized. The transcript has 3 exons. NCBI's taxonomy places the organism in Eukaryota, Metazoa, Chordata, Mammalia, Artiodactyla, Cervidae. The record is from RefSeq and is a predicted model, not a curated record.
GCACCGCCUACGUCACGACGUCGCGCGCCCUCCCGGCGCGGCCACUGGCGCCUCGCGCGGAGCCUACGUCAUGGCGUCGCGCAUGCGCACAGGCGACCCCGGAAGCCCCCCCCCCACCGCGACGCCUUCUGGGACUCGUAGUUCCAGCGCUGGGCGGAGCCCCCGCCGUUCCGUCACCUCGAGCCGUGAAGAGUUUAAAAUAAGUUGUUAAGGGUGCAGACACUCCAAUGAUAAAAUGUUAUGAUUCCUGGCUUUCACCAGUUUCUUCUUCUUGAAGAACAAGACCCCAGUGCAUCAGGGCAGAUGCCAACAACUCUCUUCCAGAGGCAGUGCUGUCUCAUCAGUUUGGAGAGACAAAGAAAGUGUCCCCUGGGCACACCUUGCUCAGAGUAGGUGCCCCACCACGUGCCCUGGAAGCCCAAGGUUUUGUAUCUCCAGCUCCUGGAACAAAGUUCAGCACAGAGCUGGGACUCUUUGAAUAUUUACUGAGUGAACAAACGCGCGAUUAUCCCUAAUUGAUAGCUGAGGAAACCAAGUCUCGGAGAGAUUGCAUACCUCACUGAAAAUGACAAGGCUGGAUGGUCAUGCAGGCAGGCUACAGGAAUGACAUACUGGGCUGAUUUCUCCGUGAGAGGGUAAUAUUUUGAAGUACAAGGAGUCUGAUUUGCAAAGUAGCGUGGGACUCUAAAAAUGACUGCCCCAAGUUGAAAACAUGCAAAACCACCUUAGUCAGUGCGUGGGGGAGGUUUGCAGGAUAUCAUUAACAUACUAAAAGCCACUGAAGUGUACACUUUAAAAAUGGUUAAGGUGGUGAAUUGUAUGUUAUGUGAACUUUGUCCCAAUAGAAAUUGUUUAAUGAACAAGUGAUAGAAAAAAAAAAAAUCAGUGGGGAAAGUGUGAUUGUUCUAUGACCUUCAAAACAUUAACAA